RNAcentral lists this ribosomal RNA (653 nucleotides) under Lamprospora seaveri. Its description in RNAcentral is "partial large subunit ribosomal RNA". It matches the Rfam family "Eukaryotic large subunit ribosomal RNA", at positions 35 to 654 of the family's 3401-position model. Lineage: Eukaryota; Fungi; Ascomycota; Pezizomycetes; Pezizales; Pyronemataceae. The record is from RNAcentral.
UAAGCAUAUCAAUAAGCGGAGGAAAAGAAACCAACAGGGAUUGCCUCAGUAACUGCGAGUGAAGCGGCAAAAGCUCAAAUUUGAAAUCUGGCGUUCAUUUGGAUGUCCGAGUUGUAAUUUGGAGGAGCGCCUUCGGGAAUGGACACCGUCCUAAGUUCUUUUGGAACUGGACAUCAUAGAGGGUGAGAAUCCCGUGCCUGGGCGGCAGUCUGUUCCCAUGCGAAGCGUUUCCGACGAGUCGAGUUGUUUGGGAAUGCAGCUCAAAACGGGUGGUAAAUUUCAUCUAAAGCUAAAUAUUGGCGAGAGACCGAUAGCGCACAAGUAGAGUGAUCGAAAGAUGAAAAGCACUUUGAAAAGAGAGUUAAAAAGUACGUGAAAUUGUUGAAAGGGAAGCGCUUGAGAUUGAACCUGGAAGGGAUGACUUGCAAGGGUGGGAGGCUUCGUGCUUCCUGUCUUUAACAAUUGGCCAUCUCCACUCCAGGCCACCAUCGGUUCUGACGGCGAGAAAAACGGCCAGGGAAUGUGGCUCCCUUCGGGGAGUGUUUAUAGACCUAGCUCAUUUACGCCAGUUGGGACCGAGGAAUAGAGCGAGCUGGGAUUUCGAUCCCAUGACCUCAAGGAUGUGUGGCAUGUUGAUCUUAAGCGACCCGUCU